GGUUCUGUGUGUAUGUGUUUGUCACAUGUGACAGGAAAUUGUUAUGGAGAAUUCCGUCAACGCGCUUACCGUAUUACAGAGCAGGGAUUAGACGCGUUUGAGGUAUUGAUGAGACGAUCGUUGAAGGAAGUACACGCCUUGGUAGUGAUGGAGAUUAGGAAAAUUCUGAACAAGCUAAGUGGCUACGGUUAUGCGUACUUAGAAAAUGCGCGUUCACUGCUAGCCCCUUCAGAAGACAGUUGCCUUCUCCCAGUUACUAAAAGGCAAUAUUGUGCUCGCUCUUGUAUCUCUUCCUCUUGUGGGAAAUGUAAUCUACACGCAGUGCAUGCACAGAUGUGGUAGGCCCUACUGUUACAAAGAAGACUACUGUGGUGCAUUACCUGGUUAGGAAACAUCAAGACCAUAUCAAAGGAAAAAUGUGGAGAUCAUAAACAAGAGAAAUUGCUCAGCUACAGUUGCAGUUAAAUGCAUCAGCCUUUGCCAAGUUCUCUACUCAAGAAGCAAAUAACUGGAAAACAGAAGAUUAGACUUGUGUAGAACUUACCGUGGGCACGGACAAUAUCUUUUGAGGUGUCUACUCUAUGUGGCAGUGCAAAUACACAGUUACCCAGUCAGAUCAAGGAGCAUAUUUUAAUCAUUGUUGAUGGUUUUGGCAGCAAUGAGCUAGACGAUCCUCAGAAUGGGGAGUCACAGCUCUGCAGCAACUUCUGCUUGUUUCUCUCUCACUCUGCAAGUACACGAUCAGCAGUAUCAGUAUGAAUGCACAAGAACCCAUAUUGUAAUUUAUUUCUGACAAAUGAAAUGGUAAAAUUGUGAAACAGAACUGCUCGCAAGGGGAUGAAGUGUCAGUACUAGUGACACACAUGUCAAACUAAUUGCACAAUCCUAGGUUUUGGGACUAAUAAGUGAUUCUUUUCAUCCUGGCAUUUGACUGACCUGCCCUUCCUUUUUAACCUAUGCCAACAUCUUCCCAAGGAAGGAACUACCAGGUUGCUGCAUAAGUUCAUAGUGACUUUGUUUUUGUGUAUUCCGGCAUAACCAAAAGCGCUGGAACGAAGAUGAAGAACGCAAGAGAAGAGAAGGCGGUGAAAUGACAUGAGCCAAAAGUACGUGUCCAGGAUGUCACCAUGAUAGGAGCGGCAUCUAGCCGAAGUGAAUAUAAGUGCGGUUCCUGCCAGCCAAGGCAGACAUUAGUGUACAGAAUUCACAGUGUGUUAGCUCAGCCAAGCAGAGAGUGCUAUGAUAGCAGUUAUUAGUGAUCCACAAACUGUGUGUCGAACUUACAUGAACAUUAUACAUAGCAAAGGACUCGGAUUUAUGUUGCAUGUAAUCCAUCA
Long non-coding RNA from Schistocerca gregaria, 1337 nucleotides. RefSeq lists it as uncharacterized. The transcript is spliced from 4 exons. The record is from RefSeq and is a predicted model, not a curated record. Lineage: Eukaryota; Metazoa; Arthropoda; Insecta; Orthoptera; Acrididae.